GAUGAACGCUGGCGGCGUGCCUAACACAUGCAAGUCGAGCGGCAGCGAGGGGUGCUUGCACCCCGUCGGCGAGCGGCGGACGGCUGAGUAACGCGUGGGAACGUGCCCCAAAGUGAGGAAUAACUGCCCGAAAGGGUAGCUAAUACCGCAUAUUAUCUUCGGAUCAAAGGAUUUAUCCGCUUUGGGAGCGGCUCGCGUCGGAUUAGGUAGUUGGUGAGGUAAUGGCUCACCAAGCCGACGAUCCGUAGCUGGUCUGAGAGGAUGACCAGCCAGACUGGAACUGAGACACGGUCCAGACUCCUACGGGAGGCAGCAGUGAGGAAUCUUCCACAAUGGGCGAAAGCCUGAUGGAGCAACGCCGCGUGCAGGACGAAGGCCUUCGGGUUGUAAACUGCUUUUAUAAGUGAGGAAUAUGACGGUAACUUAUGAAUAAGGAUCGGCUAACUACGUG
This 451-nucleotide ribosomal RNA is filed under the name uncultured bacterium. RNAcentral describes it as "partial 16S ribosomal RNA". It matches the Rfam family "Bacterial small subunit ribosomal RNA", at positions 28 to 507 of the family's 1533-position model. The record is from RNAcentral.